CUCGUUUCAUCAGCCUAUAUACCGCCGUCGUCAGUUUACUCUGUGAAGAACUUGAAGUAAGCACAAUUGGUACAACCCAAAACGCCAGGUCGAGGUGUAGCCAAUGGAGAGGGAAGAAAUGGGCUACAUUCAAUAAAAAUAAUGAACACGAAUGAUGUUUUGAAAUAAAUAUCUAAAGGAGGAUUUAGUAGUAAGUGGAGAAUAGAGUGCUCUACUGAAAUUGGCCCUGAAGCGCGUACACACCGCCCGUCACUCUCCCCAAGCUAAAAAAGCACAUUUCUAAAAAACAAAAUCUGCAAAGGGGAGGCAAGUCGUAACAUGGUAAGUGUACCGGAAGGUGCGCUUGGAAAAAC
Molecule: ribosomal RNA, 353 nt
Filed under: Halichoeres chrysus (canary wrasse)
Lineage: Eukaryota; Metazoa; Chordata; Actinopteri; Labriformes; Labridae
Description: partial 12S ribosomal RNA
Rfam family: Bacterial small subunit ribosomal RNA
Source: RNAcentral